GGCAGGCACCAGAAGAGCUAGCAGCCAAUCCGGCCAUGCUCGAAGCCAGCUCUGCAGCUCAGCCAAUCAGUGACAUCAUUGCUUUCUUUAGCUUGCCCAUGGUGAUGUGAAGAUGAGAAGAAAUAGCAAGGCCCAACCAGUUCUUCAUCUGGAGACAGUUCAACGUUCUGCAAACCAGAUCUUCAGGAAUUUUACUGGGAUAAUUAUCCAAAUAAAUUGCAAGCAUUCUAUCCAAAUGAAACUUACAACCAAGUUGAAAAGACAAGAGCCAUAAAAUAAAAUAAUAGCAAAUUAAUAUAAAACCUGGAUAAAGAAUGUAAUAACUAGAUGACCAAUUUGAGAGUGCUUAUUGGGACUUAUGAAGAAAAAGAAAUUGAAAAAAGGAGCUCUUUCUGAGAUGAAGAGAAUUCUCAAUGUCAAGAUUUGAACAAGAAGAGAAUGGAAUACACAAUAUGGACAUCCAUAAAAAUUCAUCAGAGAGCAUUUUACUACUGAGCUGCAAAGGGAAAAACUUAAAAUGGAUAUGAAAAGUGAAGAAAGUGAUCAUAGGAGAAAACCAUUUCAGGUAAAAAUAAAAAACAAAGAGCAAAUAAGAUUUACUGUUUUUAAAGAAAAACAACAUUCUUUUGACUGUGUUUUGUUAUAAGAAUUAAUUUCAUAUUCUUUAUGAGUGUAACUGUUGAAAUUUUAUUGAUGGUUUUCAUUUGAAAAUGUGUGCUAUGACCUACCUUUGUGAAAAAUUUCUUGUGGUCAAUUGGGCAGUUUGUGUCCCAUUGAAUAUAUGUCUGUGUAUCCAUACGCUUAAGAUAGGUGCAAUACGGUUUACUAGAAAGCUUUAUAGGAAAAGAAAAAAA
Molecule: long non-coding RNA, 854 nt
Filed under: Homo sapiens (human)
Lineage: Eukaryota; Metazoa; Chordata; Mammalia; Primates; Hominidae
Description: mir-99a-let-7c cluster host gene
Source: RNAcentral